Molecule: ribosomal RNA, 203 nt
Filed under: uncultured bacterium
Lineage: Bacteria
Description: partial 16S ribosomal RNA
Rfam family: Bacterial small subunit ribosomal RNA
Source: RNAcentral
ACGCUCGACACCUACGGGAGGGCAGCAGUGGGGAAUAUUGCACAAUGGGGGAAACCCUGAUGCAGCAACGCCGCGUGAAGGAAGACGGUUUUCGGAUUGUAAACUUCUGUUCUUAGUGAAGAUAGUGACGGUAGCUAAGGAGCAAGCCACGGCUAACUACGUGCCAGUAGCCGCGGUAAUACUGAGCGGGCGUGGCGAAGGCG